UGGAGAGACUUCGAGAGGAGAGGCGGGGCGGGAAUGUGGAGGGGAAUCCAUGGUCGAUUGGAGAAGAGAUGGAAAUGUAGGGGGAUUUAGGGUUUUCGUGAUGAGAGCGCUGGUGGAGAAGAUGGGAGAGAGACGGCGGGAAUGCCGGAAAGAAUGAAGGUUGAAGGGCGGUCGUGGGGUUCAAGAGUCGGGAAGUGGAGGUGGUGGGAAUGGCCUUCGCUGAAAAUGAAUUUGAAUCGGGUUGUAGGAGACUGCAUAAGGGGAAAAUGAUUUAUGCAUAACCUGUGCACUCUUUUGUACAUGUUUCAAAAGGAUUUAAAUUUCAGAGAAAUGCUUAUGCACAAGUGCAUAGGUUAUGCACUGUCCUUAUGCAUGUUUCGGUGACCCUGAAAUGG
This 395-nucleotide unclassified non-coding RNA is filed under the name Hevea brasiliensis (rubber tree). The record is from RNAcentral. Lineage: Eukaryota; Viridiplantae; Streptophyta; Magnoliopsida; Malpighiales; Euphorbiaceae.